Molecule: long non-coding RNA, 708 nt
Organism: Aquila chrysaetos chrysaetos
Lineage: Eukaryota; Metazoa; Chordata; Aves; Accipitriformes; Accipitridae
Exons: 4
Source: RefSeq, a predicted model, not a curated record
GUUGUUCAGCAGAAGCUGUUAACCUUUAAAGCGCUGAUACGUUUUGGUUUAUUUCAUUUUUUUUAACCUGAAUUGCUGUCUUUUUAAGAAGUCUCUGAAAUCGUCUCCCUUGACAGGGCAAGCGUAACGUGCCUUAAGUCUCCAUCUCGUGGAAGAUCUGCUUGGUUAACAGUUGCUAUGUGUUGCUGUUGGCUUUUAAGGAACAUCUCUGUGUUGGGUUUUUUUUAGUGUGUUUUGGUGGUUUUUUUUCUCUUUGUUUUAUUUGAUUAUUUUUUUUCCCUUUUGCAUUUGGUUUUGCAAAGAGGUUUGGCAAACACCAGAGCCAUCAAGGCCAGGGCAGCUAUGAGGGUCAGGGAAUAUUUGAUCCUCCAGUUUCCUUCAUGUGGUUCUUCCCUGAUCCUUUCUCUUUGAAGAAUGCGAGUGAAUUUCUUCUCUUCUCUGAAGCAAAUGAAUCUUUCAAUGUUCCUGGUAGUCUGCCCUCCAUCCUUCUACUCUUACUGAUGCUGUUGACCUGGGUUCCUUGUGUGCUCCUCUGCACUCUACCAAGGUGCAAAACUUGACUUCUCUAGUGGCUCCCAUCACAGCCUUGUUCCACCCAUGGGAUACUCCCUCCAGUCUGGCAUUAGUCACAACUGGAGACUGGACUAAUUUGCUGAUGUUGUACAAGGAAUUGUCUCUCCUGGAGACCUGGCUGAUGUGGUCAGAACU